This 408-nucleotide ribosomal RNA is filed under the name Scylla tranquebarica (purple mud crab). RNAcentral's name for it is "partial 12S ribosomal RNA". Lineage: Eukaryota; Metazoa; Arthropoda; Malacostraca; Decapoda; Portunidae. The record is from RNAcentral.
AUACCAAAAAGUAAUUAUCUUAAACCUAAGUAUUUAAAGUUAUGUACUUGAAAUUUGAAGAAUUUGGCGGUGAUUUAGUCUUGUCAGAGGAACCUGUUUUUAAAUCGAUACACCACGAAGAAUCUUACUUAAACUUGUAAAGUAGUAUGUAUACCAUCAUUAUUAGGUAAUUUUUAUAGAAUAAAUUACUGAAAGAUAGUUAUUAAUAGUGUUAAAUAUAUUAGAUCAAGGUGCAGCUAAUGUUUAAGUUAAAAUGGGUUACAAUAAAAAUUUAUUUAAUACGGAAUAUUAAUUUAAAUAGUUAAUUAGAAGGAGGAUUUGAUUGUAAAUUAAAUUUAAUAUGUUUAAUUAGAUAUAAGCUCUAAAUCAUGUACAUAUCGCCCGUCGCUUUCAUUACUAAAAUGAGAU